Mangifera indica (mango) is the source of this 107-nucleotide small nucleolar RNA. NCBI's taxonomy places the organism in Eukaryota, Viridiplantae, Streptophyta, Magnoliopsida, Sapindales, Anacardiaceae. The record is from RefSeq and is a predicted model, not a curated record.
AAACUAUGAUGUGGAUAGUGCCUCUGUAGGUCCUUGUAUCUCUCUUAAACCUCAUAUAAAUUUUUGUCAUCUUUUGUAGUAAAUUUAGUGAUGUCAUUUAUGAUUUC